RNAcentral lists this ribosomal RNA (460 nucleotides) under uncultured bacterium. RNAcentral's name for it is "partial 16S ribosomal RNA". It matches the Rfam family "Bacterial small subunit ribosomal RNA", at positions 338 to 795 of the family's 1533-position model. The record is from RNAcentral.
CCUACGGGAGGCAGCAGUGAGGAAUAUUGGUCAAUGGCCGUAAGGCUGAACCAGCCAAGUCGCGUGAAGGAAGAAGGAUCUAUGGUUUGUAAACUUCUUUUAUAGGGGAAUAAAGGUAUCCACGUGUGGAUAUUUGCAUGUAACCUAUGAAUAAGCAUCGGCUAACUCCGUGCCAGCAGCCGCGGUAAUACGGAGGAUGCGAGCGUUAUCCGGAUUUAGUGGGUUUAAAGGGUGCGUAGGUGGUUUUUUAAGUCAGCGGUGAAAGUUUGUGGCUCAACCAUAAAAUUGCCGUUGAAACUGGAAGACUUGAGUGUGUUUGAGGUAGGCGGAAUGCGUGGUGUAGCGGUGAAAUGCAUAGAUAUCACGCAGAACUCCGAUUGCGAAGGCAGCUUACUAAGCCAUAACUGACACUGAAGCACGAAAGCGUGGGGAUCAAACAGGAUUAGAUACCCCGGUAGUC